GGACGAACGCUGGCGGCGUGCUUAACACAUGCAAGUCGAACGGUGAUGGAGAGCUUGCUCUCCGGAUCAGUGGCGAACGGGUGAGUAACACGUGAGCAAUCUGCCCCCUCACUCUGGGAUAACCCGUCGGGAAACCGAAGCUAAUACCGGAUAUGACGCGCGAAGGCAUCUUCUGCGUGUGGAAAGAAUUUCGGUGGGGAUGAGCUCGCGGCCUAUCAGCUUGUUGGUGAGGUAAUGGCUCACCAAGGCGACGACGGGUAG
This 261-nucleotide ribosomal RNA is filed under the name uncultured bacterium. RNAcentral's name for it is "partial 16S ribosomal RNA". It matches the Rfam family "Bacterial small subunit ribosomal RNA", at positions 27 to 286 of the family's 1533-position model. The record is from RNAcentral.